AGUGAACGCUGGCGGUAGGCCUAACACAUGCAAGUCGAACGGCAGCACAGUAAGAGCUUGCUCUUACGGGUGGCGAGUGGCGGACGGGUGAGGAAUACAUCGGAAUCUACUUUUUCGUGGGGGAUAACGUAGGGAAACUUACGCUAAUACCGCAUACGACCUACGGGUGAAAGCAGGGGAUCUUCGGACCUUGCGCGAUUGAAUGAGCCGAUGUCGGAUUAGCUAGUUGGCGGGGUAAAGGCCCACCAAGGCGACGAUCCGUGGCUGGUCUGAGAGGAUGAUCAGCCACACUGGAACUGAGACACGGUCCAGACUCCUACGGGAGGCAGCAGUGGGGAAUAUUGGACAAUGGGCGCAAGCCUGAUCCAGCCAUACCGCGUGGGUGAAGAAGGCCUUCGGGUUGUAAAGCCCUUUUGUUGGGAAAGAAAAGCAGCAGGUUAAUACCCCGCUGUCCUGACGGUACCCAAAGAAUAGCACCGGCUAACUUCGUG
Molecule: ribosomal RNA, 491 nt
Filed under: uncultured bacterium
Lineage: Bacteria
Description: partial 16S ribosomal RNA
Rfam family: Bacterial small subunit ribosomal RNA
Source: RNAcentral